Columba livia (rock pigeon) is the source of this 1787-nucleotide long non-coding RNA. RefSeq lists it as uncharacterized. The record is from RefSeq and is a predicted model, not a curated record. NCBI's taxonomy places the organism in Eukaryota, Metazoa, Chordata, Aves, Columbiformes, Columbidae. The transcript is spliced from 5 exons.
UGUAACUGCUGCUGAUGUGGUAAAGUAGGCGAGGCCAACAGCACUCCCCCAUUUGGGGUUGACCUCGCCUGGUUUGCCUUGUGGUGAGGUUGCAGCUGCUCGGCUGCACUGCUUUUUACCUGGGGAUCGGUCAGAAACAUUACCCUGAGGUAAAAUAAAAAAACCCUGCACCUCUUUGCAGGGUGAAGGCAGGGCCUCCUCGCUCUGCCUCAGCCGCCUUCUCUCUGUAAUUGGAAUUUCAGCAAGUACCUGCCCCUAAGAUGAAUGUUGCGUGGCGUUCCCAGGCACGCCCCACCUCAAACGCCGGCCUGAUCUUCCUCCGGGCCCCAACGUGGCAUCAACAGCCUUUUCCCGCCUGGAGCAACACACGGCGGCUCCGGAGCAAGGCUCCUCGCUCCGCCUGAGCUACAGCUUCAUGCCGCUCUGCCGUCAGCAAGCAGGGAGAUGUCUGCCCCGUCUCGGGGACCUGGGGGCAAGAAGUCACCCAGGCGAAGUUUGUCCUCGGAAAGAAGGUCUUUUUCUUCUCUCUGCUGGCCUUGAAGAUUUAUAUGACUGAUUUAUAAACCCUUAAUUGUAGAGAUAAUGUAUUUAAAACAUAUGUGCUUCCCGUAGUGCUGUGCGCACGCUUUGAAUGCUGUCUGCCUCUUGCCCUGUCUACGUUCACAGAAGGUGGAAUUCAUCUGUGUGUUGACCUCCCCCCCGAAAAUGCAUUUUAGCAAUAAAAAUACAUUAUCAGGCAUCGUAUUGCACAAGUGAGCCCCUGCAUAGAAAUGGGAGUCAUUCUGCACAAUGUAGUGCCAGCACAGAGACAGUACCGAGGAGCAGUCAUUCCUCAUUGCAGCAUGCUACAGAUUUGCACUUAGUGAGAGGUCAGAUUAGAUCAUCACCGUAGAAAGGAAAUCUAUUUAAAUAUAUCUCCUGGAGGUACGGGGGGCUCUAUGACAAGUCUGCUGGUGCAGGGUGAGUCUUUGGGCAGAGAACUGCCUUGGAGAUGGGAGACGGGAGCGAGGGAUGCUCAACCACACCGCCAGCCUUUGCAGAACCACAGUGCUGAGUCUUCCUGCAGGUCUUGCUGCAGGCGAGGACGGCUGGUCCUUCAAGCGGUGGCUCUGACUGUUUCCCACCUGCACGUUGUAACUUAAGAAUGCUGACUCACUGGCACCGUGCGCCAACCCAAAUGUUGCUACUGGAAUUGACCACUGGAAGAUCCUGGCAAAACCAUCCGGGAAGUUUAUGUGAUGCUAGAUACAUCAUGAGGUUUCUACACCAUCAGAGCAUUUGUUCUGAACAUUGUAUAGAUACGUGGCUGGUUGUUUCCUUAUUGAGGUACCUCUGCUUUACUUUCCUUGGCAGGCAAUUUAAACAUAGUUAGAUAUAUUGCAACUGAGGAGUGGUCAGGAAGCUAAAGAGCAACAUGGAAACGCAGCUUUAAAACAAGGUCCCCUCCCUCUGUAUCAGUGAGUUACAGACAUUGAUUCAGGUGUAUUUAAACGGUAUCUUCUAGAGUUUCGAACUUGUUUUGCAUCUUAUGUAACUGAAAAUCAGCUUUUGUGUUUGUUUUAGGAGGAAAUAAAUUUAUUUCAGAUCUGAUUAUCAUUACUGACUCAUUUGUCACUUGAUAUGAUGUCACUGGUCUGAUUAUCUGAUUAUUCCGAGUCCCUGAGUGUCACUAGUGUGUUGGAAGGCAGUGACUCCUCAGAUGUUCAUGGAUGCCUUUAUGUAUCCGCCUCCAAUGACUUUACAAAUUCCUGAAAAUGAACACAAGGCAUUUUCAGCUUUUCUCUCCC